Long non-coding RNA from Brassica oleracea var. oleracea, 1171 nucleotides. RefSeq lists it as uncharacterized. Lineage: Eukaryota; Viridiplantae; Streptophyta; Magnoliopsida; Brassicales; Brassicaceae. The record is from RefSeq and is a predicted model, not a curated record. The transcript has 4 exons.
UGGUUUUCUCUUUCUCUCUCCCGAAGGAUGAGUUUGACGAUUGAGUCCAUUCCAUCUCUUCCUCGGUUGAUCUCUCCUCGAUACGGUUGCUGGAAGGUCCGUCGGAAGCUCCGAGGGUGAGGAUCGACGAGAUUCUUCUAAGUUUGGUUUGGAAUCCGUGAUCCGCCCGUCGAUUCGAUGCCUGAUAGGGCUAAGAAACCUAAUUGUUGUUGACGGUUGGAUUCAUUCUAUGCGGUUGAUACUGAUUGUUGUUCAUUAUUCUGAUCUUGGAUGGCUAUUUGAUUGACUUACUGAGUUCUUUGUUGUUCACUGGACUUAUUGAUGAUGGUUGGUUAGGUUACUCUAUGAUCUCUCUGAAAUUGAUAUACAUUGUGAUCAUUAUUGUACCAAUGCAGGAAUCUUUGUUAUACGGCAGACACCAAGAGAGUCUCGGAAAUUGAUAUACACUGUGAUCAUUAUUGUACCACUGCAGUGAUGAGCCUUGGAACAGCCGCGACGGAAGAAGAUGGAGCACUUGUUGCUUAGUUGUUUGGCUCUGUGAGGAAGAUGUUCAAAGCUGAUGAGAAAAUGUUUGAUGCUGUCACUGGUCUCAGUGGAAGUGGACCAGCGUACAUAUUCCUAGCCAUUGAAGAUUAAGCUGAUGGAGGAGUAGCUGCUGGUUUACCCCGAGAACUUGCACUCGGUUUAGCUUAACAGAUGGUGCAGAUUAUCCUGUCAUACAGCUUUUGAUUCCUAUGAUUGGAUGAUUCACAAUGCAGAUCCGUUGUUUCAUCGUCAUGUUGCCGGUAACGCUUUGUUUUCUUCGUUCUUGUUCUAGUUUUCUCAUGGAUCCCCUUCUUUCAUCUCAUAUAUUCAUAUUUUGGUGAUUGAUUUAGCAGAAGUUAAAAGAACAAGCAUACAACAAUGUUUAAUUUUUUUUUAAGAACCUUUAACUAAGAAACUAGCAUUGUAGGACAAAUUUUAGGGGUUUCUUAACAAAAGUUCUUAAGAUUAUAUUUAUUACUAAAAAAAUAUUAAGAACCCCAUUAGGAGUUUUAGGGAUAAUCAUGCUCUUAGGGGAUGAGCCACUGUUGACAUUAGAUGUGUUAUAAAACUUUAAAUUUAUUACAUAUUGAUUUGUUUGUUUAGUGAAGAGGUUUAUUAUGGGUUGAUGUUAUGCUUGCUCCGCACA